AUUGAACGCUGGCGGCAGGCCUAACACAUGCAAGUCGAGCGGAUGAAGGGAGCUUGCACCUGGAUUCAGCGGCGGACGGGUGAGUAAUGCCUAGGAAUCUGCCUGGUAGUGGGGGAUAACGUCCGGAAACGGGCGCUAAUACCGCAUACGGCCUGAGGGAGAAAGUGGGGGAUCUUCGGACCUCACGCUAUCAGAUGAGCCUAGGUCGGAUUAGCUAGUUGGUUGGGUAAAGGCCUACCAAGGCGACGAUCCGUAACUGGUCUGAGAGGAUGAUCAGUCACAAUGGGACUGAGACACGGUCCAGACUCCUACGGGAGGCAGCAGUGGGGAAUAUUGGACAAUGGGCGAAAGCCUGAUCCAGCCAUGCCGCGUGUGUGAAGAAGGUCUUCGGAUUGUAAAGCACUUUAAGUUGGGAGGAAGGGCAGUAAGUUAAUACCUUGCUGUUUUGACGUUACCAACAGAAUAAGCACCGGCUAACUUCGUG
This 484-nucleotide ribosomal RNA is filed under the name uncultured bacterium. Its description in RNAcentral is "partial 16S ribosomal RNA". It matches the Rfam family "Bacterial small subunit ribosomal RNA", at positions 30 to 507 of the family's 1533-position model. The record is from RNAcentral.